UAUGUUUUAUAUUUUAGCUCCUCUUGUUUAUAUGACAGUUUUACACAUCUCUGCUGGAUUUUCUCAGUCAGUUUUAUGAGGUAGAGUCACCUGCAAUUCAGGCUUUCAGUUAACAGCUGUGCUGAACUCAUCAAGAGUUAAUUACUUGAAUUUCUUGUCUCUUAAUAUGUUUGAGAGCAUCAGUUAAAGUAAAGUAGUGAAGAGGUAGAGUUACAGGUAUACAGUGAAUAGAUCUAUAUUAUGGCAAGAACUACUCAACUAAGUAAAGAAAAAAUACUUUAAGAAAACAUGAAGAUCAUUCAAUUCGAAAAGAAGCAUUUUAAGGACUUUGAAAGCGUCCGCAAUGAUGAUGAAACUGGCACUCAUCAGGACUGUUCCAGCAAAGGAAGAGCAAGAGUUUUCUCUUUUGUACAGGAUGAGUUGAUCAGAAAGUUACUAUAUAUAUUCCUUAUGUGUUCCUUCAUAGUCUGGAUCACUUUACUAUUCAUUUACUAUGUAGGAAAAACAAUAAAUUGAAAAAUAAUUGAAUGAGAAGGUGUGUCCAAACUUUUGACUGGAUAAGCUUUUAAAGUAUUUUGAGACAUUGAUUUUCCACUUUAAAAAGCAGUUCCAAGCUGUUUUAGGAUGGUUUAGACUAUAGGUAGUGGGUGGAGCAUGAAUCUUCCAAUGCUCCGCCCACUUUUAUGAUGCUGGUUUAAAAGAUCAUCUAGCAUUUAUAGCAUAUACAGCUCUGGACAAGAAAUAAGAGAUCUCUUGAAAAUGAUGAUUUCCUUUUAUUUUAGCAAAUUGAAAACUUCUGGAAUAUAAUCAAGAGGAAGAUGGAUGAUCACAAGCCAUCAAACCACCAAACUGAACUGCUUGAAUUUUUGCACCAGGAGUAAAGCAGCAUAAAGUUAUCCAAAAGCAGUGUGUAAGACUGGUGGAGGAGAACAUGAUGCCAAGAUGCAUGAAAACUGUGAUUCCACCAAAUAUUGAUUUCUGAACUCUUAAAAUUUGAAAACUAUGAAUAUGAACUUUUAUUUGAAGUCUAAAAGCUCUGCAUCAUUUUUUUUUUUUGUUAUUUCAGACAUUUCUCAUUUUCUGCAAAUAAAUUCUCUAAAUGACAAUAUUUCUAUUUGGAAUUUGGGAGAAAUGUUGUCUGUAGUUUAUAGAAUAAAACAACAAUGUUCAUUUUACUCAAACAUAAACCUAUAAAUAGCAAAAUCAGAGAAACUGAUUCAGAAACUGAAGUGGUAACUUGUUGGCGGAUCAUGGCUCUAGUUCUCUUUGGUGAAAUAAAUUUAGAACACAAUAUAUAGAUGAGAUGUUCCACUGAGUCGUUUAAGUUCAUCCGUCCUGCAUCGUUCACUUCCCUCCACUGCGUAGACUGCCCUCAGCUGCAGUUCAUGCCUGUGCCUUUGCUGUGUUGUGAACUGGAUAUUGAUUGUACUACUGUACACGUCAGCGGGGCCCACCAGAGGUACUCUAUUUAUUACUGUUGAUUAAAUCAAUCAUAUUUUUAUAUGUAGGGGACAAAAGUGCUUUAAAUAAAUUUGCCCUUUUUUAUAAGA
Molecule: long non-coding RNA, 1550 nt
Organism: Astyanax mexicanus (Mexican tetra)
Lineage: Eukaryota; Metazoa; Chordata; Actinopteri; Characiformes; Acestrorhamphidae
Exons: 2
Source: RefSeq, a predicted model, not a curated record